RNAcentral lists this ribosomal RNA (210 nucleotides) under Escherichia coli. RNAcentral's name for it is "partial 23S ribosomal RNA". It matches the Rfam family "Bacterial large subunit ribosomal RNA", at positions 2721 to 2925 of the family's 2925-position model. The record is from RNAcentral. Lineage: Bacteria; Pseudomonadati; Pseudomonadota; Gammaproteobacteria; Enterobacterales; Enterobacteriaceae.
UUGUCAUGCCAAUGGCACUGCCCGGUAGCUAAAUGCGGAAGAGAUAAGUGCUGAAAGCAUCUAAGCACGAAACUUGCCCCGAGAUGAGUUCUCCCUGACUCCCUGAGAGUCCUGAAGGAACGUUGAAGACGACGACGUUGAUAGGCCGGGUGUGUAAGCGCAGCGAUGCGUUGAGCUAACCGGUACUAAUGAACCGUGAGGCUUAACCUU